ACCGAUGAUGCGUCGCCCCAUGAUUGGAGGUGCAGAGGGCUCCAGGAUCCUGUUUACAGGAUGAACCUACCUGGGGCCGCUGCAUACGCAUGACAACCCCGGGCAAGUCUGAGGU
Molecule: non-coding RNA, 115 nt
Organism: Brachypodium distachyon (stiff brome)
Lineage: Eukaryota; Viridiplantae; Streptophyta; Magnoliopsida; Poales; Poaceae
Source: Rfam